CGUAUCUCCAAUACAAUAUGAUACCCUCCGAUACGGCCACCACUACCGAUACUUUAGUCCUUGGCUGAUGGAUCCUAUAUGAUAAUAAAAUUUAAGCAUGCACUUGAAUUUGCCAACACAUAUGAUUCCUUUGUAUUUUGUUUUAAUUUGCAACCUUUUUCCUUUUUAAUAUAGAUAGGGAUUGACGUACUUACAUGAUGCUAAAAUUUGAGCACCAAAUAUAUUGCCACAUGACAGUAAUUGCCAGUAUUCGAGCAUUUUUUCAUCCCCUCUCAAGAUCAGAAGGAUUGCACUUAAACUUAGUAAUAAGGUUAUGGCACAAAUAGUUAUAUAACAUAUAUUUUAUAAUAAUAUUUAUCUGAAGGGGGGCAAAUGUGUCCAAAUAAUAGUUAUGGUCACAUUUUUGUAAGGAAAUUUGAAGUGAAAUACUAUUUUUCCGCUCUACUAGAGUGUUCAUCUCUGCCUAGAGUGUCCAUGAAAGUGUUUAUUUUUCUUUCUUUUAUCAAAUCAUCUAAUUUAAAUCUUUUUCGUCUCUCUUUAUUUAUGUUCGUGUUUAUUCUAGAACUUUCUUGGAGGAAUCUCCUUCCACACACCCUAUACCUACAUCAUUUGCUCUGGCACUGCCACCAUUACCAGAUCCACCAAUCCAUGUGUCCCAUUCAUUGGGCUAUGCGGUGUUGCUACACAUAACAAAUUCGUUUUUCCAGCAUAACAAUUUCUAUGCAAAUUGAUAUUAAUUUUUUUUAAGAACUUCUGUUACUGUAUAAUAAUUAACUAUAAUCAAUAGUGUUAAUCAGGCGCAACUUGGCCCAGCCCAACCCAAUUAGGUUUAAGUAGAGUUGAGCUGAGAUGGAUUGAGCCACGCAGGGUUAGUCCUGGGUUAAAUCUCUUAAUCCGACCUCAAAAUUGAAUUGGACUUGGAUUGAGGUUAGAAGAUUAAAAUUUGGACUGAGGUUUUAAAAAUCCGGCCCUAUUUCACUCCUAUUUUUCCUUCUUGUGACUGUUUCUUCCCCACCAUACGGAGGGGUGGGAUCUGGGUUAUGUCAUGUUUUUCCCGCGUGAGCAUCAAGAGCGUUUCAUAAAAAAGGAGAAAAUUAGAAAAGGUUCCAGAGAGAGAGAGAGAGAGAGAGAGAGAGUGAAAAGAGUGGGAAGAGAAGAGGGUUUGUGCUUCCAACAUAAGGUUUGAACCCAUUUCACCCUUUGGGCUCUAUUCGAUCAGAGUCGCCAACUUCCGAUAGCGAAUAUCGUCUUAUUGUCAGGGCUUUUGCUGUUAUUUCCUGUCAGAUUUUCGGCUGUGGAUCUAGAAAGGAGAGAAUUUUAAGAUCACUUCUGGUUCUUUACAUUCAAAACGUGAGCUCUUUCUUCGUCUCGAUAUUUUCCUUAAAUUCAUGGUUUCUGUUGGUGAUCGUUCGAGGUUAUAAUCAAGAAAUGGUGAUAGUGUAAUACAGGGUUUGAGAAGAGAGAGAGAGCUAUAGUCUGAUUCUAUCUUCUGCCCAACUAUAUUGAAAAAGAUGGAAGAAGACCUUAAACCCAUGAGUUCUACGGCUAACUUGCAUUCCGACGACAGUGGUGGCAUGGAAGCUCGUUUUACAGAGCUCUGCAAGUUGUUCAAAGAAAGCAAGAACCUGCUACGCUUGCACUGCCUUUUAUUCUUCGACGCAAUCCAUAGCUCCCAUCUCUUCUUCUCUCCUCUUCCCUACGAUCUCUCUCUCAAAGUUUCACUUCAAUGGGACUUCUAUUGAGCAAGAUCUUCAUCUCUGAAACAAACUCCCCUUCCGUGGCCUUGCUGGUUGGGAGGUUGAAGGUGAUUCCCUCCAACCCCAUGACUUGUCUUUGAGAAUUGGUUUCCCAUAUUACCCCUUCGUUCCAUCCUUAUUUCUGUUUGUCCCUAUUUUGUUUUUAGUUCCAAGUUUACCCUCCCAUCACUUACACAUUACAUUCCUUUGUUGUUUCCUUUCUCUUAUUUUGAACUCUUAUAAAUUAUGUCAUCAUUUGUUACUUUCCUUUAAUGAGUGCUGCAUUGAGAUAUAAAUUUCAUAGUUGCCAUUACUCUUGCAAAUUGAACCUUUACUAUCUUAAGUGAGCUCAUAACCAAACCCAACAGGGUGUUUUUUACCUGGGUAACGUAUCAACAGUAACAGGACAACACAGAAUUCUGAUUGAGAGCUGUUUAGAACCUGUAGAAUGAUUCUGCAGAAGAUCUCAGAAACCAGAACCAAAAUAUGCUAUCUGUAGAUUAAUAGAGCAGAUUUCAAGAUUAAGAGAUCAAGUCAGAAUCGAAAGAAAUAUGAUAAUUCAGCACAAAAUAGUCAAAUAGUUCCAAAUUCCUAUUGAUAACCUUAUUCUAAAUAUAGAUAUAGUGAUGCAGUUGCAAUAGACAAGAAUGCCAUAAGGAGGUCUAUGCGCAAACUUGGGAGGCUCAUAAGGUGUUGCUGGCAGUCCAAUGGGCUGAUAUUAACCUUUGUGUAAUUAUAGGUUGGGAUUUUUUUUUUGGGUUUCACCAUAAUGGGCCUAAUUUAUAAGUCCAUAAAGUGUGGAUAAAGUUACAAUUUGUGAAUUAUGGAAUAUUUAAUUCAUCUUAUAAAUGUGUUGUUUUUGUC
Macadamia integrifolia is the source of this 2600-nucleotide long non-coding RNA. RefSeq lists it as uncharacterized. Lineage: Eukaryota; Viridiplantae; Streptophyta; Magnoliopsida; Proteales; Proteaceae. The transcript has 2 exons. The record is from RefSeq and is a predicted model, not a curated record.